Molecule: ribosomal RNA, 839 nt
Filed under: Cantharellus cinnabarinus
Lineage: Eukaryota; Fungi; Basidiomycota; Agaricomycetes; Cantharellales; Hydnaceae
Description: LSU rRNA
Rfam family: Eukaryotic large subunit ribosomal RNA
Source: RNAcentral
GAGUGAAGAGGGAAGAGCUCAUCAUUGGAAUCUGGCAGCGUUGCGCUGUCCGAGUUGUAGAUGAGAAGAGUAGGCCAUCUGGACUGCGUGGUGUCCAAGUACAAUAGGCCGUCAGUGGGACAUCAUAGAGGGUGACAAUCCCGUCCUUGACACCAACGUACGAGUCCAUUACGAUGCCUAUCUCAGAGAGUCGAGCAGUUUGGGAUUUGCUGCUUAAACAUGGGAGGUAGAUUCCUUCUAAAGCUAAAUACAGGCAAGAGACCGAUAGAGAACAAGUACCGCAAGGGAAAGAUGAAAUAGAACUCUGUGAAGGGAGUCAAAAAGACGUGAAAUUGUUGCGAGAGAAGCGAUUCAAGUCAGCGUAGCUAGGCCCAUCAAGCCUUGCUUUGGACUAGCUUUGCCAGCGGUCUUGUCCUUUAGAGAGACUUGACUUUUGACAUGCCCUGCCCGGUCUAACGGGCAGACCUCCCUCUGGGAGGCCAGUGGCAUGGCUGGUGGAAUGGCUUGCAAUCGACCCGUCUUGAAACACGGACCAAGGAGUCUAACAUGUGUGCGAAUAUAAGGGUGGCAAACCCGUAUGCGCAAAGAAAGUGAUAGCCUUUUAUGGCUGAGAAUGGCCUGAUGACCAGACAAGCAAUAUUAUGUUCCUCGUACGGUCAUUGCCCAAGUCCCGUGGUCAGAUCCCAUGGACAUGGAGUUAGAGCAUACAUGCUAGGACCCGAAAGAUGGUGAACUAUGCCUGGACAAAGCGAAGCCAAAGGAAACUCUGGUGGAGGCUUGUAGCGAUUCUGACGUGCAAAUCGAUCGUCUGAUCUGGGUAUAGGGGCGAAAGACUAAUC